This 297-nucleotide ribosomal RNA is filed under the name uncultured bacterium. RNAcentral's name for it is "partial 16S ribosomal RNA". It matches the Rfam family "Bacterial small subunit ribosomal RNA", at positions 524 to 820 of the family's 1533-position model. The record is from RNAcentral.
GACAGAGGGUGCAAACGUUGUUCGGAAUUACUGGGCGUAAAGCGCGUGUAGGCGGCUAAGUAAGUCGGGCGUGAAAUCCCACGGCUCAACCGUGGAAGUGCACUCGAAACUGCAUAGCUAGAGUCCUGGAGAGGAAGGUGGAAUGCUUGGUGUAGAGGUGAAAUUCGUAGAUAUCAAGCGGAACACCGGUGGCGAAGGCGGCCUUCUGGACAGUGACUGACGCUGAGACGCGAAAGCGUGGGGAGCAAACAGGGAUUAAGAAACCCCGGAUAGUACCAGUACCGAACGUCUACUCGA